CGCGUGUGAUUUGAUUUCAGAGGAUCAUGGAGCAGCGCUCUGACCGCGGUGUGUCGGAGUGUCGUGCCCGCACGGAUGCGCUUCUAACACGGUUACUUUUGCUCCGGAGCCCCGCUGAACGGAACUAAAGCUGGAGGAUCGGAUCGGUACCGAUGGCUGAUCCUCUGCGGAGGACAAUUCUAGCCAAACUCAGGGGCAAGAAACCCAAAGGGAAAGACGCGAGCACCGCGAACCGGCCGAGAGAAGGUAAAGAAAAAGUUUCUCAAACGCAGACAGAGAGAGAUUACAUUUCACAUGCGAUGAGGGCUGAGGAGAGGUGUGUGGCCGCUCUCGGCUGCAGCGCGGCUCCCCGGUGCGCUGUGCGUGUCACCGGGUUCUCAGGGCCCGGGGGCCCCGCUGAUCAAAGCGAGCGCACCGAGCUGAAGCGUCUCCAGACGCCGCGGGUCCGCGGAGACUCGGUCGGCUUCAGCGGCUGCGAUUUAAAACCCCGACGAGAGGCUUUACAGCUAGCAGAUGGUCAAGAUCUAAAGAAUAAAGGACCAAAUGUUACACUACUCGAGCAAAAGGCCGGGGAAAACAUUAUGAGCGACUUUGAACGUCACGCCAGGGGCCCCCAGCCUCAUGUGUUUGAUUAUAUAGACGCGGAAAGCGAUUUAAUUCAGGUUAUAGAGAGUUCGCUGGAAUAUCAUGGAGAGUUUAGGAUGCCCGCAUUACAAAGUCCGAAUUUUUUCCCCACUGAUCUAAAAAUAACAGUGGCCCCUGGGCUGAGAGAUGGGGCCCCUCGACACCACUCAGUCGACAGCGAGGACGACGAUUAUUAUGAUAACCAAACUCUACCCUUUUAUGAGUCUCACACUCACUUGAAAGAGCGAAAUACGAAUAUCGGUGAGCCGAUAUCGGCGUCGGAAUCUAACGAAACCGACAGAUUGAAGUCCCAACUGAAAGAGGCGUAUUAUUUGCUAAUAAACACAAUGCACAACAUCAGAUUCGACGGUCAGGUCGAAGAUAACGAAUUUGUGGAUCAGGCCAGUAGCGCUAGUCAAUCCCACGGCAGCGUCAGCACAGAAAGCGACGCGUGUUCGUCCGAAGAACGUAACGAUUCUGCGUUUCUCGGACGAUGUGGGGUGGGUCUGACGGGGUCUUCGCAGAGCAGAAGCUUGCAGAAUAUUCACGACGCGACUCCCAAAACGACGCUCCAGCGGUCGGUGAGCGACAGCAAGGUGAAGUACUCGUCAAACCGUGAGGAAGAGUCGCGAGCCGCCGUCGCAUCGGGUCUCGAUGUGCAACAGGUGAACCCUACGGAAGCCCUCCCGACGCUUGCUUCAGCGCGCCGAUCCUGCGACGACGCAGCGGUGCCCAAACAUCCCGGAGUCACCGUCAACAAGAUGCAAGAGUGGAUGCAGAAAGGUCGCGUGCUUUCGUCCGAGAUGAAGCAGAGGAUCGCGGGUUCCUCGCUGAGAGCCAAUCACGUGAGGCAGCAGACAGGUAUGGACGGCCGCUGGCGUGGAGGACCUCAAAACCAUCUCAUUCAUCUCACAAUCUCUGGUGGAAAGCGCUGAGAGAGCUUCUCGGUGUCUUUUAACCGGUGCUGGGGUUUUUCCUCCUCUUCCUUCAUGACUAAUGCCGUUUCACCUAACACGGUUGGCAGGAGCGUGCCGG
This 1659-nucleotide long non-coding RNA is filed under the name Sinocyclocheilus grahami. RNAcentral describes it as "lncRNA (ENSSGRG00000021516.1)". Lineage: Eukaryota; Metazoa; Chordata; Actinopteri; Cypriniformes; Cyprinidae. The record is from RNAcentral.